UACGUAGGGUGCAAGCGUUGUUCGGAAUUACUGGGCGUAAAGCGUGCGCAGGCGGCUUCUCAAGUCAGGGGUGAAAGCCCAGAGCUUAACUCUGGAAUUGCCUUUGAGACUGAGAGGCUUGAGUACGGGAGAGGUGAGUGGAAUUCCCAGUGUAGAGGUGAAAUUCGUAGAUAUUCGCAAGAACACCAGUGGCGAAGGCGGCUCACUGGCCCGAUACUGACGCUGAUGCACGAAAGCGUGGGGAGCAAACAGG
This 253-nucleotide ribosomal RNA is filed under the name uncultured bacterium. RNAcentral's name for it is "partial 16S ribosomal RNA". It matches the Rfam family "Bacterial small subunit ribosomal RNA", at positions 524 to 776 of the family's 1533-position model. The record is from RNAcentral.